RNAcentral lists this ribosomal RNA (511 nucleotides) under uncultured bacterium. RNAcentral's name for it is "bacterial SSU rRNA". It matches the Rfam family "Bacterial small subunit ribosomal RNA", at positions 1 to 507 of the family's 1533-position model. The record is from RNAcentral.
ACACGACUACGAGUUUGAUCCUGGUUCAGGAUGAACGCUAGCGGCAGGCCUAAUACAUGCAAGUCGAACGGAUAUAUGUUUUUCGGAAUAUAUAUUAGUGGCGCACGGGUGAGUAACACGUACAUAACUUGCCCUCAAGCGGGGGAUAGCCUUGGGAAACUGAGAGUAAUACCCCAUAGAAUUAUUGGACGGCAUCGUUUGAUAAUUAAAACUACGGUGCUUGGGGAUAGAUGUGCGUCUGAUUAGCUAGUUGGUGAGGUAACUGCUCACCAAGGCGACGAUCAGUAGGGGGCGUGAGAGCGUGGCCCCCCACACGGGUACUGAGACACGGACCCGACUCCUACGGGAGGCAGCAGUAAGGAAUAUUGGUCAAUGGAGGGAACUCUGAACCAGCCAUGCCGCGUGAAGGAUGACGGCCCUCUGGGUUGUAAACUUCUUUUGGAUGGGGCGAAAAAACGGGAUUUAUCCUGGACUGACGGUACCAUCAGAAUAAGCACCGGCUAACUCCGUG